RNAcentral lists this ribosomal RNA (251 nucleotides) under uncultured prokaryote. RNAcentral's name for it is "partial 16S rRNA". It matches the Rfam family "Bacterial small subunit ribosomal RNA", at positions 525 to 775 of the family's 1533-position model. The record is from RNAcentral.
ACGGAGGGUGCAAGCGUUAAUCGGAAUCACUGGGCGUAAAGCGCACGUAGGCGGUGCGGUCAGUCAGACGUGAAAGCCCACGGCUUAACCGUGGAACUGCGUGUGAUACUGCCGGACUUGAGUGUGGGAGAGGGUGGAGGAAUUCCGGGUGUAGGUGUGAAAUGCGAAGAUAUUCGGAGGAACACCAGUGGCGAAGGCGACCCCCUGGACGUCAACUGACGCUGAGUUGCGAAAGCGUGGGGAGCAAACAG